This 718-nucleotide ribosomal RNA is filed under the name Dirshacris aridus. RNAcentral's name for it is "partial 16S ribosomal RNA". It matches the Rfam family "Bacterial large subunit ribosomal RNA", at positions 1724 to 2738 of the family's 2925-position model. Lineage: Eukaryota; Metazoa; Arthropoda; Insecta; Orthoptera; Acrididae. The record is from RNAcentral.
AGUAUAUUUUAUUUGUUUAUAAUAUUUACUUUUGUUAAUUUAUUAUAAGGAAUUAGGCAAAAUUGAUUUCCGCCUGUUUAUCAAAAACAUGUCCUCUUGUUUAAGCUUUGAGGUCUAGCCUGCUCACUGACAAGGUUUUAAAGAGCCGCGGUAUUUUGACCGUGCAAAGGUAGCAUAAUCAUUAGUCUCUUAAUUAGGGGCUGGAAUGAAUGGCUUGACGAGAAAUCAACUGUCUCUUAUUAAAUUUUAGAAUUUAACUUUUAAGUUAAAAGGCUUAAAUUUUUUUUUAGGACGAGAAGACCCUAUAGAGCUUUACAUUUUACUUUUAUAUAGUUUUAAGUUGGUCUUUCUAUAUUUAAUAAUAAUGUUUUGUUGGGGUGACAUGAAGAAUAAAUAAACUCUUCAUUAUUAAAUCAUUAAUUUAUGUUUAUUUGAUCCAUAAUUUAUGAUCAUAAGAUUAAGUUACCUUAGGGAUAACAGCGUAAUUGUUUUUGAGAGCUCAUAUCGACAAUGCAGAUUGCGACCUCGAUGUUGGAUUAAGAAAAAUUUUGGGUGCAGUAGCCCAAUAAUUAGGUCUGUUCGACCUUUAAAUUCUUACAUGAUCUGAGUUCAGACCGGCGUGAGCCAGGUCGGUUUCUAUCCUAAAAUAUAAAAUUCAUAUUAGUACGAAAGGACCAUAUGAUUGAAAUAUUUUUUAUUAUAUUGAUUAAAAUUAAUA